UAGGGAAUCUUCCGCAAUGGGCGAAAGCCUGACGGAGCAACGCCGCGUGAGUGAUGAAGGUCUUCGGAUCGUAAAACUCUGUUAUUAGGGAAGAACAAAUGUGUAAGGAACUAUGCACGUCUUUACGGUACCUAAUCAGAAAGCCACGGCCAACUACGUGCCAGCAGCCGCGGUAAUACGUAGGUGGCAAGGGUUAUCCGGAAUUAUUGGGCGUAAAGCGCGCGGAGGCGGUUUUUUAAGUCUGAUGUGAAAGCCCACGGCUCAACCGUGGAGGGUCAUUGGAAACUGGAAAACUUGAGUGCAGAAGAGGAAAGUGGAAUUCCAUGUGUAGCGGUGAAAUGCGCAGAGAUAUGGAGGAACACCAGUGGCGAAGGCGACUUUCUGGUCUGUAACUGACGCUGAUGUGCGAAAGCGUGGGGAUCAAACAGG
RNAcentral lists this ribosomal RNA (429 nucleotides) under Actinomycetes bacterium. Its description in RNAcentral is "Actinobacteria bacterium partial 16S ribosomal RNA". It matches the Rfam family "Bacterial small subunit ribosomal RNA", at positions 355 to 776 of the family's 1533-position model. Lineage: Bacteria; Bacillati; Actinomycetota; Actinomycetes. The record is from RNAcentral.